CUUGCACCUGGUGGCGAGUGGCGAACGGGUGAGUAAUACAUCGGAACAUGUCCUGUAGUGGGGGAUAGCCCGGCGAAAGCCGGAUUAAUACCGCAUACGAUCUACGGAUGAAAGCGGGGGACCUUCGGGCCUCGCGCUAUAGGGUUGGCCGAUGGCUGAUUAGCUAGUUGGUGGGGUAAAGGCCUACCAAGGCGACGAUCAGUAGCUGGUCUGAGAGGACGACCAGCCACACUGGGACUGAGACACGGCCCAGACUCCUACGGGAGGCAGCAGUGGGGAAUUUUGGACAAUGGGCGAAAGCCUGAUCCAGCAAUGCCGCGUGUGUGAAGAAGGCCUUCGGGUUGUAAAGCACUUUUGUCCGGAAAGAAAUCCUUGGUUCUAAUAUAGCCGGGGGAUGACGGUACCGGAAGAAUAAGCACCGGCUAACUACGUGCCAGCAGCCGCGGUAAUACGUAGGGUGCGAGCGUUAAUCGGAAUUACUGGGCGUAAAGCGUGCGCAGGCGGUUUGCUAAGACCGAUGUGAAAUCCCCGGGCUCAACCUGGGAACUGCAUUGGUGACUGGCAGGCUAGAGUAUGGCAGAGGGGGGUAGAAUUCCACGUGUAGCAGUGAAAUGCGUAGAGAUGUGGAGGAA
This 632-nucleotide ribosomal RNA is filed under the name uncultured beta proteobacterium. Its description in RNAcentral is "bacterial SSU rRNA". It matches the Rfam family "Bacterial small subunit ribosomal RNA", at positions 79 to 706 of the family's 1533-position model. Lineage: Bacteria; Pseudomonadati; Pseudomonadota; Betaproteobacteria. The record is from RNAcentral.